UGGUAAAGAGAGGAAUUAAACCCCUUUAAAUAGGACUACAGCCUACCACC
This 50-nucleotide transfer RNA is filed under the name Anolis luciae. RNAcentral describes it as "partial tRNA-Tyr". Lineage: Eukaryota; Metazoa; Chordata; Lepidosauria; Squamata; Anolidae. The record is from RNAcentral.